This 386-nucleotide transfer-messenger RNA is filed under the name Helicobacter pylori. It matches the Rfam family "transfer-messenger RNA". From Rfam's summary of the family: Bacterial tmRNA, also known as 10Sa RNA or SsrA, is named for its dual tRNA and mRNA-like properties. Its role is to liberate the mRNA from a stalled ribosome. Lineage: Bacteria; Pseudomonadati; Campylobacterota; Epsilonproteobacteria; Campylobacterales; Helicobacteraceae. The record is from RNAcentral. RNAcentral also lists the same sequence under 1 other name.
GGGGCUGACUUGGAUUUCGACAGAUUUCUUGUCGCACAGAUAGCAUGCCAAGUGCUACUUGUAAAACAGCAACAAAAAUAACUGUAAACAACACAGAUUACGCUCCAGCUUACGCUAAAGCUGCGUGAGUUAAUCUCCUUUUGGAGCUGGACUGAUUAGAAUUUCUAGCAUUUUAAUCACUCCAUAACCUUAAGCUAGACGCUUUUAAAAGGUGGUUCGCCUUUUAAACUAAGAAACAAGAACUCUUGAAAUUACCUCAAGGUUUUAGAAAGUUGGACCAGAGCUAGUUUUAAGGCUAAAAAACCAACCAAUUUUCUAAGCAUUGUAGAAGUUUGUGUUUAGGACAAGAUUUUUGGACUGGGGUUCGAUUCCCCACAGCUCCACCA